RNAcentral lists this ribosomal RNA (448 nucleotides) under uncultured bacterium. Its description in RNAcentral is "bacterial SSU rRNA". It matches the Rfam family "Bacterial small subunit ribosomal RNA", at positions 328 to 792 of the family's 1533-position model. The record is from RNAcentral.
GAGCCAGACUCCUACGGGAGGCAGCAGUGGGGAAUAUUGCACAAUGGGGGAAACCCUGAUGCAGCGACGCCGCGUGAGUGAAGAAGUAUUUCGGUAUGUAAAGCUCUAUCAGCAGGGAAGAAGAAAGACGGUACCUGACUAAGAAGCCCCGGCUAACUACGUGCCAGCAGCCGCGGUAAUACGUAGGGGGCAAGCGUUAUCCGGAUUUACUGGGUGUAAAGGGAGCGUAGACGGCUGUGCAAGUCUGAGGUGAAAGCCCGGGGCUCAACCCUGGGACUGCUUUGGAAACUGUGGAGCUAGAGUGCUGGAGAGGUAAGUGGAAUUCCUAGUGUAGCGGUGAAAUGCGUAGAUAUUAGGAGGAACACCAGUGGCGAAGGCGGCUUACUGGACAGUAACUGACGUUGAGGCUCGAAAGCGUGGGGAGCAAACAGGAUUAGAUACCCCAGUA